Molecule: transfer RNA, 87 nt
Filed under: Acidithiobacillus ferrooxidans ATCC 23270
Lineage: Bacteria; Pseudomonadati; Pseudomonadota; Acidithiobacillia; Acidithiobacillales; Acidithiobacillaceae
Description: tRNA-Leu
Rfam family: tRNA
About the family: Transfer RNA (tRNA) molecules are approximately 80 nucleotides in length. Their secondary structure includes four short double-helical elements and three loops (D, anti-codon, and T loops).
Source: RNAcentral
UGCGAGCGUGGCGGAAUCGGUAGACGCGCCGGAUUUAGGUUCCGGUGGGACACCCCGUGUCGGUUCGAGUCCGACCGUUCGUACCAU